This 254-nucleotide ribosomal RNA is filed under the name uncultured bacterium. Its description in RNAcentral is "partial 16S ribosomal RNA". It matches the Rfam family "Bacterial small subunit ribosomal RNA", at positions 524 to 776 of the family's 1533-position model. The record is from RNAcentral.
UACGGGGGGGGGCAAGCGUUGUUCGGAAUUACUGGGCGUAAAGGGCUCGUAGGCGGCCCUCUCAGUCGGAUGUGAAAUCCCCAGGCUCAACUUGGGAACGGCAUCCGAUACUGGAGGGCUUGAAUUCGGGAGAGGGAUGCAGAAUUCCAGGUGUAGCGGUGAAAUGCGUAGAUAUCUGGAGGAACACCGGUGGCGAAGGCGGCAUCCUGGACCGGCAUUGACGCUGAGGAGCGAAAGCGUGGGGAGCGAACAGG